Molecule: transfer RNA, 90 nt
Filed under: Biostraticola tofi
Lineage: Bacteria; Pseudomonadati; Pseudomonadota; Gammaproteobacteria; Enterobacterales; Bruguierivoracaceae
Rfam family: tRNA
About the family: Transfer RNA (tRNA) molecules are approximately 80 nucleotides in length. Their secondary structure includes four short double-helical elements and three loops (D, anti-codon, and T loops). Further hydrogen bonds mediate the characteristic L-shaped molecular structure. tRNAs have two regions of fundamental functional importance: the anti-codon, which is responsible for specific mRNA codon recognition, and the 3' end, to which the tRNAs corresponding amino acid is attached (by aminoacyl-tRNA synthetases). tRNAs cope with the degeneracy of the genetic code in two manners: having more than one tRNA (with a specific anti-codon) for a particular amino acid; and 'wobble' base-pairing, i.e. permitting non-standard base-pairing at the 3rd anti-codon position.
Source: Rfam by way of RNAcentral
GGUGAGGUGGCCGAGCGGCUGAAGGCGCUCCCCUGCUAAGGGAGUAUACGGUCAAAAGCUGUAUCGAGGGUUCGAAUCCCUCCCUCACCG